GUUAGUUUUCCAGACAGAGUACCAGUUUUAACCAUUUCCGUUGAGCAUCUAGGUGUAGUGACAAUUGUGUUAGUCUGAACAACUGGAACAUGUACUGGGGGAUCAUCACUUGCACAGCCUUCCCAAAACUCCAUUGAGGUAUUUAGAUCCCAAUUUUCCCUAUUUGACUGCUGAAGAGAACCAUCAUAGUCAGACCCAACAUUACCAGCGAGACACUGGGUCUCCCUUCCUUGCUU
Molecule: unclassified non-coding RNA, 236 nt
Filed under: Hevea brasiliensis (rubber tree)
Lineage: Eukaryota; Viridiplantae; Streptophyta; Magnoliopsida; Malpighiales; Euphorbiaceae
Source: RNAcentral